AUAGCGUAUAGUACUGUGAAGGAAAGGUGAAAAGGACCCCGGGAGGGGAGUGAAAUAGAACCUGAAACCCUGAGCUUACAAGCACCGAGAGCACGUCAAAGUGUGAUCGGGUACUUUUUGUAGAACGGUCCGGCGAGCGUAUGUACGUAGCAAGGUUAAGGACUUAAGGUCCGGAGCCGAAGCGAGAGCAAGUCUGAAUAGGGCGUCAAGUUACGUGCAUAGGGCCCGAAACCGGGUGACCUAUCCAUGUCCAGGCUGAAGUUGGGGUAAGACCCAAUGGAGGGCCGAACCGACCUCCGUUGAAAAGGCGGCGGAUGAGGUGUGGAUAGCGGAGAAAUUCCAAUCGAACUCGGAUAUAGCUGGUUCUCCCCGAAAUAGCUUUAGGGCUAGCGUUGUGUAUCAUUACCGGAGGUAAAGCACUGAAUGGCCUAGGGCCCUAACGGGUACCGAAGCCUAUCAAACUAAGAAUGCCGGCUAAUGCGAGCACAGCAGUCAGACUAUGGGAGAUAAGUUUCAUAGUCAAAAGGGAAACAGCCCAGACCCACAGCUAAGGUCCCAAAUAUGAUUUAAGUGGAAAACGAUGUGGGGUUGCGAAAACAACCAGGAUGUUGGCUUAGAAGCAGCCACUCAUUUAAAGAGUGCGUAAUAGCUCACUGGUCGAGUGACCCUGCGCGGAAAAUUCAACGGGGCUAAAAUCAUAACCGAAGCUUGGGAUAUACUAAUGUAUAUGGUAGGGGAGCGUUGUGUAAGGGGUGAAGUCAUAGCGGAAGCGGUGGUGGACUUUACACAAGUGAGAAUGCCGGAAUGAGUAGCGCGAAUUAUGUGAGAAUCAUAAUGGCCGAAAGUCUAAGGUUUUUGGAGGAAGGUUCGUCCGCUCCAAGUUAGUCGGGAGCUAAGGUCAGGCCGAAAGGCGUAGCCGAUGCACAUACGGUAGACAUUCCGUAACCGUCGAAGUAUUUAAGCAAAGGGACACUUUGAGAAGGUACAAGCCAGGCGUUGGUAGCCCUGGUCGUAAGGGACUGAAGUUUAGUAAGGAAGUGUACUGGAACAGAGGCGAGAAAAGCUUUGUGUAUAUACAAGAUGCCCGUACCGCAAACCGACACAGGUAGAUGGGAAGAGAAUUCUAAGGCCAACGGGAGAAGGGUUGUUAAGGAACUCGGCAAGUUGACCCCGUAACUUCGGAAUAAGGGGUGCUCACGAGAGUGAGCCGCAGAGAAUAGGCCCAGGCAACUGUUUACCAAAAACACAGGUUUGUGCUAAAUCGAAAGAUGACGUAUACGAGCUGACGCCUGCCCGGUGCUGGAAGGUUAAAAGGAGAUGUGCAAGCAUUGAAUUGAAGCCCCAGUGAACGGCGGCCGUAACUAUAACGGUCCUAAGGUAGCGAAAUUCCUUGUCAGGUAAGUUCUGACCCGCACGAAUGGUCGCGGCCUUCGCCGCCGACGCGCAGUUUGCCCUCAAGCACCUGAAUGGUCACCGGCAUGGCGGCCGUAUGCUCGCUCAGCGCCUGAUCCUUGUCGAAACCGAACAGCACGACACGCAGGCCGUCCUCACGCAUCACCACGCGCGAGACGGUGGAUUCCGGCUGGAUCUCGAUCAGCGAUGCAAGAUCGGCCACAUAGCCCAGGUGUGGUUCCGUGGAAAUGGCGUGGCCUUCGGCAUCGUGCUUGCACGCGCAGUGCUUGGGCUGCUCAUCACCGGCUUCCUCAGCAUCACCGUGCUUGCACUUGCAAUGGUGCGCUUCGCCUUCGCCGGCUUCCGCGGCGCCGUCGUGCUUGCACGUGCAAUGGUGGGCGGCCGGCUGCUGAGCGGCCGAAGCGUUCUCUGCGGCUGCCUCGGCCGCGGCCCUGCGCUGACGGCACUUGCAGUGCUGCUCGUCACGUCCCGCCUCACAUGCGGACUGCUGUUCGUUCUCAUCUGCCAUGAUGUUCUCCUUCGUUACGUUGCCGUAUCUUUUUGUUGCGCGUUCGCGCCGCAUAUUGCUGCGCGGACGCGCAUCCACGUAUAUCAGUGCAUAUCAAU
RNAcentral lists this ribosomal RNA (2019 nucleotides) under human gut metagenome. Its description in RNAcentral is "bacterial LSU rRNA". The stretch from base 1 to 1513 matches the Rfam family "Bacterial large subunit ribosomal RNA", at positions 487 to 2925 of the family's 2925-position model. The record is from RNAcentral.